GGUGAACGCUGGCGAUGUGCCUAAGACAUGCAAGUCGAACGCCCCGCAAGGGGAGUGGCAGACGGGUGAGUAACGCGUGGGAAUCUACCGUACCCUACGGAACAACAGUGGGAAACGACUGCUAAUACCGUAUACGCCCCACGGGGGAAAGAUUUAUCGGGGUAUGAUGAGCCCGCGUUGGAUUAGCUAGUUGGUGGGGUAAAGGCCUACCAAGGCGACGAUCCAUAGCUGGUCUGAGAGGAUGAUCAGCCACAUUGGGACUGAGACACGGCCCAAACUCCUACGGGAGGCAGCAGUGGGGAAUAUUGGACAAUGGGCGCAAGCCUGAUCCAGCCAUGCCGCGUGAGUGAUGAAGGUCUUAGGAUUGUAAAGCUCUUUCACCGAUGAAGAUAAUGACGGUAGUCGGAGAAGAAGCCCCGGCUAACUUCGUGCCAGCCGCCGCAGUAA
This 447-nucleotide ribosomal RNA is filed under the name uncultured bacterium. RNAcentral describes it as "partial 16S ribosomal RNA". It matches the Rfam family "Bacterial small subunit ribosomal RNA", at positions 28 to 523 of the family's 1533-position model. The record is from RNAcentral.